ACCCGUCCAGAUGCCUUACCCAUCAGAUCAGACCUAAACACUGGUCUGAGUGGGUACAAAAGGUGGGGCAGUAAAAUUGAAACUGACUUAAAGUUUUUGUGACACACAAGCUAUUUUCAAACAAAC
This 126-nucleotide small nucleolar RNA is filed under the name Echinops telfairi (small Madagascar hedgehog). RNAcentral describes it as "Small nucleolar RNA SNORA61 (ENSETEG00000026621.1)". The record is from RNAcentral. Lineage: Eukaryota; Metazoa; Chordata; Mammalia; Afrosoricida; Tenrecidae.